UCCCUGAUAGCUCAGUUGGUAAAGAAUCUGCCUGCAAUGCAGGAGACCCUGGUUCGAUUCCUGGGUCGGGAA
This is a transfer RNA of Ovis aries (sheep), 72 nucleotides long. It matches the Rfam family "tRNA". Rfam says of the family: Transfer RNA (tRNA) molecules are approximately 80 nucleotides in length. Lineage: Eukaryota; Metazoa; Chordata; Mammalia; Artiodactyla; Bovidae. The record is from Rfam.